CACAUCAGGCGCUUGCUGUUUGAUCAUCAUGUUGGUCUGGGCAACACUUACAUGAGGUGAAGUUGAACUGCCUGACGCUGCCAACACCGCCGUCGCCCUCCACGGGAUGGGCGCUUGUGACGACGUGAGAGGCGACCUUGGGCGCCAGGUUGUGCCAGUCCAUCACGGCGGCGCGGAACAGGCGCGGCGCGGCCACCGGCGACGGGAUCUCUAGGGUCCAGCUGUUGGAAGCCAUGCUGGUGGUGGUCUGGGAUGAGCUUUGGCUCGGUGCCUAGGCCUAGUUUGAUACUAGUAGCUGGAGCUGCUGCUUGUGUUGCUGGAACGAGCGGCAACAAGGUAUUUAAAUAGAGUGCGGUGAGCGCGGGGUUGGUGACGCUUUGCCCGGUUGGUGUCCGGUGGUGACUGGUGAGGGCCUCAAGUUGCUGGGCGAGUCGUCGGGCUUUUCCACAAUGGAUGGCUCUGUCGGUCGAGUGAGCUUUUAGUAAGGCGGGCGUCGAAACACACGUCUUGCACGGUCUUUGUCAAAACACGAGGAUAUAUUCGAGGAGUAUGUUGACGGAAUUGGCGCCACCUUCCGCUUGCACAAUUUGGUCUUUGGUAUAUAAAAGUAGUAUGUAAUGACUGUCAGAGUUCUAGAUAUUUGACUGCAUGUCUGCAUGCUAGGAUAACUUCCAUUCUAGAACGAUAUGAGGCCCUUGACUAACAUGAAUACAUCAUCUUUUGAAUUUAGACAUGAGAAGACUUAAAUUUUGUUUGACAUAACUCAACUUUAUUUUUGAAACUGCUUUUUUUAAAUAGCUCUACGUGCAACUUUCUCGGUAUUAAAAAGUUAUUUUAUAAAAUAGCUUCACUAACAACUUUAUGUAUGGUUGAGAGAGAGAAAUGAAAGAGCGCUUUGAAAAGUUAUUUUUAGCUCUAUUUUUCUGUGAGAGCAUAAAAAAGGUGUUUGACAAAAAACAACAACAACUCACAACAGCUCAUGAAGUUGUUGGUUAAACCGUGUCACAUAGAGCCUCACUUGCUGUCGACGAAAGCUGGUCGGCAGUCUACCUUGGGGUAUACCCACGGUAGUAGUUUAUUGGUAGACGGUGCGCAAACUACGAACUCGACGGUGACGCAAGACUCGGACAAGCUUUUUAUCCAGGUUCGGCCGCCGAGUUGGCGUAAUACCUACGUCCUGCGUCUGGUUGUAUUGAUUUGUGUUGAGAGAAUAUCCUGUCCUAGGGGGGUCCCUUGCCCCUCCUUAUAUAGUCUGGAGGGCAGGGUUACAGAUCUGGAAACUAAUCCUAGUCGGUUACAAUUGUCAUAGAUAGUUCGAUAUCAAUUCCUAUUCUAACCGACUAGAAUCCUGCUUGAUCUCCACAUCUUGCUUCCUUGCGCGAAACCCCAUGCUGUCGGAUCAAGCCUUGAACUCGUCUCGUAAUGGGCCAAGCCUCCUGGCCCAAGUCUAGCCAUAAGGGUAUAGGGGUCUAUCCCCCCACACUUGCUGACAGUGAUGCCACCUUUUUCUUCUUAUCUCAUCCCUUAUGGAUCUUUUAUGAGAAACAUCUUGUUUAAUUUAUAAAAAAACUACCCUUUUUUUAAGUGACUCCUUCUUGCUCUAGCGAGAUCUUUUACCGUUGUCGAAAUGGUAACAUGAUGUACCACUCAACAUGCAUGAGAGGUAAACCACGGUACCUUUAGGACUAAUAGUUUUGACACCUACAGUACCAAACUCAAGUUAUAUAGUUUUGAUAACUUACCAAGGAUAAUAAAAAAAAACUCCUUACAAAUGCCUUCUAUGGCUUCUUAUAGGCACUUGUUAUGAUAUAAGGACACAACUAUGACAAUUAAGGAAUGGUGGGCAUCCUUAUUGAAGGUCCAUUUGGACUUUGGAUGCAAGGGGUAAUUGGUAGUUAGCUAAGAAUUAGCUCCCGUGUAUCUAAAUAGGAAUAUAUGUGCUAAUUUUUUAAUUAGCCAAGUUUUCAGCUAGUCGUUAGGCAAAUAGCUAGCCAACUAUAAACUAAUUUAGACUAAUUUUUAGCCCCAACUAAUAACUAGUGUAUCCAAAUAGAGUAGAAUUGUAAAAGAGAACGAUGGUAGUUCUAGUGUACUAUUUUUAGGAUGUCUACAAAUAACAAAAUAGAAGGGCUUUGCACGGAAAGAUGAAUUGACUCUAAAAAAGAAGGCUUGUGGCAAACCUAGUUUAGGCUUUUCAUUUCGCUGAAAAUACACUGAAAAGUACUGUUCACUGAUUUGUUGUGAGAGAAAAAUCCUGUAUCAUGACUGAUAAAUCUAAUGUCAUUGUUGUAUUCUUUUGUAACUUAAAUUUGCAAAAAUCUACAUUUUCUUUCUUUUUUAAAAGAAAAUGGACAGACAAGAGAGCUACCUUUUAUAUAGUACAGUCAGGCUUCUCCUUACGUGACCUGUCAUUUCUUAAAAAGAAAUGCAAGCUCGGUUGAUAAGGGUUUAGCCGUUUGAGGCCGCCGUUGAGCAUCACUUUUGUCUAAACUCAGAAAAUGAACUAAAAGCUGCUGUGAAGAGAUUUCGUGGCUUAUGAUUUGUUCUGGAAGCUAAAAAAAUAUUACAAAAUUCAAUAAUGAAAAUACAACAGUCAGAAGCCACAAAAUCAGCUUUUAUGUCAAAAGUACAAAAGAUACCGCUCAAACAAACAAGCCCUUAAAUGUCUUCUUCUCCCAGCUCUCUAGUGAACGCUAUAGCUCUUGGAGCUUUCAUAUUUUCCAUAAUAAUUUUAAACACUCUACCAAUAUCUACUGAAAAUGUAUCGAAAAAAUCAAAAUAUCUAUUAGAAAUGAGCAAAAUUAUCGGUCAAACUUGCAUAGAAUUCGAAAACAAAAUGCCCCUAUUCUUCCCACACAUAAAACCAUUGUAUACCCAUUUUCUGUCCCUUCUUCUUUCAAGAAAGUCAUUGUAUACCCAAAUAGUUUUCCAUCCGCCCUAUUUAUAGUCCAGUUUAUCCAGUUUUUGGUAAAACCUAGCCUAGCCCGUAGGAUUUAUCUACAACAGUUUCUAACCCACAGGUACCAGCGGUUUCCCUCCUGAUCUUCCCCAAUCGCCCACUUGCAACACCACGUUGCUCAUUGUUAACUUACUCUCCACGGACCUGUCCGCUCGUCGCGCUCGCCUCGAGCCGUCCGUGCGCUCUGGAGAUCCUAACUUUAUAUAUGGCCAUGCAGCCCAUGGCCCGGUGGCCCGGCCCAUGGCCUGACGAUUUGGCACGGCCCGAGGGACCCUGCCUAGGCCACCACCUAUGCACGCGACAUGGCCCAAGCAUGGCUUUAUCCAACGGUUGGCCCGGUAGCGGCUCGGUGAAAAUAAACUGUUGUGUAGUUGUGACUUAUAUAUAUAUGUGCCGUUAAUUGUUAUAUUGGAGAAAAUGAUGAACAAUUGGUGAAAAUGAUAAAGUGUUUUAGCACUUAGUGAAAAUGUUAAUGAAAAUGAACUGUUUUCGGCUAAACGGGUCGUGGGCUGGCACAAUACGAGAAAAACGCCAUGCUUGACGGGCCGACACGACACGAAAACCGGCCCAUAGGCCGUGCCUUAGGCCGAAGGCUAUGCAUGAAGUCCAUGGAGGCACGACCCGCAGCACGACACUGCAUGACGUUGGACAUAUAUAAUCCUAAAGCAGGACGAUUAGAAGGAAGAAGAUGGGGGUCUCCACCUGUCGUGCAGUGGAAUUCUCGUGCCUCCCCGUGCAUGGCCACGGUGCCACCAUUGACCACACGAGCGCGGCGUGGUGUGCGUCCGAAGAUGUUGUGGCUGGCGUUGAAGACAACCUCGAAGUUGUGCCUCUGUCCUCCAUUGGUGCCCAUGGGUACGCUGUUGAGCGGCGCUGGUGCCCCCUUCGUCGGCACGGGAGGAAGAACACGACCAAGUUUAACGAGUUGAGUGGUGUGGAAACGUCGCAAACCAACACGCGUGGUUUCUCCUGACACGGUUUACCGUGGGCUGAUUCACGGGUACACGGUUAGUAUACAUAUAUAUAGGGGGUGUUUGGUUCAAAAAAUGCAAAUGUCAAUUACUUUGUAAUGAUGGAAUGUAAAAGGUCAAACUUUUCAUGGUUAUGUUUAGUAAUGCAGAAUUUAUUGUCUUUAUAAGGGCCUCUUGAGGUUCUUUUGGUGUGUUUUUUUGCCUCUUGAGGUCAAAAUCUAAAAUAAAGAAUAAUUAUUUUUUUGCUAAAAAUUUUGCAUGCUGUUUAGUUAUAUUAUACAGAACAAUGGACCAAAACCAAGAAUUUUUUAGAAUAGCAGGGGAAAACACCCAUAAUCGCACAACGACAGCAUGCUACAUACCACUCAUAACAUCUCAAGUCCACACACCGCACACUGCUUAGAGCAGCUUUAUUUAUUUUGUACGAAAAAAGGAACAUGAAAGAAAAAAAAUCCAGUCUCUGAAUAUAUCAAAACAUGUAUAAGACCACCCGUGAAGUGCAAUCGCAUCCCCAUCCACAGAUUUAGUUGUAGGCGUCGGGGUUGGCGACGAGGUAGGCCUCGGCACCCUUGAAGAUGGCGGUGACUGCCUCCUUGGCCUUGACUUCCUCGCCCUUCACGUCCACACCCGGCAGCAGCUUGUAGGUCGACUCCACCUUCACCACGCUGCCGCCGCCGGCCGCGGGCUCCACCUUGAUGUGCGACGCCGCGGUCUCGACGGCCACGCCGAUGCCGCCUCCCUCGACGAGCGUCGACUUGCACUCGCACUUGUCCAUGUCCAGGGACUCGAGCUUCUCCUUCAUGAAGCUGAAUGGCAUGACUGCAAGAGCGAUCGAUCCCACGUCAGGCGCUAGCUGUUUGAUCGAUGAUCAAGCGAGAGAACAUCAUGUUGGUCUGGGCAACACUUACAUGAGGUGAAGUUGAACUGCCUGACGCUGCCAACACCGCCGUCGCCCUCCACGGGAUGGGCGCUUGUGACGACGUGAGAGGCGACCUUGGGCGCCAGGUUGUGCCAGUCCAUCACGGCGGCGCGGAACAGGCGCGGCGCGGCCACCGGCGACGGGAUCUCGAGGGUCCAGCUGUUGGAAGCCAUGGCUGGUGGUCUGCGAUGAGCUUUGGCUCGGUGCCUAGCUAGGUCUAGUUUGAUUAGCUGAUGCAAGUAGGUGGAGCUGCUGCUUGUGUUGCUGGAACGAGCGGCAAAAAGGGAUUUAAAUAGAGUGCGAUGAGCGCGGGGUUGGUGACGCUUUGCCCCGUUGGUGUCCGGUGGUGACUGGUGAGGCCUGAAAGUUGCUGGGCGAGUCGUCGCGCUUUUCCACAAUGGAUGGCUCUCCGUCGGUCGAGUGAGCUUUAUUAAUAAGGCGGGCGUCCAAAACACACGUCGUUGUCGCACACUCUUUGUCAAAACACGAGGAUAUAUUCGAGGAAUAUGUUGACCGAAUUGGCGGCUUGCCGCCACCUUCCGCUUGCACAAAUUGGUCUAGGUCUUAAAAACAAGCCAUGUAUGUCACAUUUGGUUGGUAUAUACAAGUAGUAUGUAAUGACUGUCAGAGUUCUAGAUAUUUGACUGCAUGGAUGUCUGCAUGCUGGAUAACUUCCAUUCUAGAACGAUAUGCCUUGACUAACAUGAAUUCAUCAUCUUUUGAAUUUAGACAUGAGAGGACUUAAGUUCCGUUUGACACAACUCAGUUUUAUUAUCGAAGCUGUUUCUUUAGAUAGCUUUAUGAGUAACUUUCUUGGCUGAGCUAUUUUAGAAAAUCAUUUUGUAAAAUAGUUUCACUAACAACUUUAUGCAUGGUUGAGAGGGGAAAAUGAGAGAGCUUUUUGAAAAGUUGUUUUUUAGUUCUACUUUUCCGUGGGAGCAUAAAAAAGGUGUUUGACAAAAGAAAAGAGUAAAGUCCAUCACCAGUCUCUAAACUUGUUUAGGUAUAUCAUCCCGGUCUCUAACUCGCAAAACGAUCGUUUAGGUACCUAAACUUGUUCGGCUAUAUCACUCUGGUCCCUAAACUUGGAAAUCUCAUAUAUAGGCCUUCAAACUUGUUUAGUUGUGUCAUCCCAGUCCCUAAACUUGUUUUUAAGUCUCGUCUGGUUCAAAACGGAACGAAUCUAAAAACUCUAUAAAUAACUCAUAACUUUUUCAUAUAAACUCAAAUAAAGAUAAACUUUAUAUUAAAAUUAUAGCCAACAAUGUGAUCUACAACUUUGUAGUUAAAAAGUUUUUAAACUAAAAUAAUUUAGGGUCUCAUUUUUUUGUAAGUUUAUUAAAUUUUGUGACACUAAAUGACUUCAAAUAAAAAACUUUUCAACUACAAAGUUAUAGAUCACAUUGAAGGCUACAACUUUAAUAUAAAGUUUGUUUUCAUUCAAGUUUAUAUGAAAACGUUAUGAAUUAUUUUUCUAUAUAGAGUUUUUAGAUCGCUUUGUUUUGACCCAGGUGAGACUCAAGACCAAGUUUAGGGACUGAGAUGACACAACUGAAUAAAUUUAAGGACCUAAAUGGGUAAUUUCUAAGUUUAGAAACCAGGAUGACACAUCUGAACAAGUUUAGAGACCGGAAUGAUAUAGACAAACAAGUUUAAUGACCUAAAUGAUCAAUUUAUGAGUUUAGGGACCGAUCGAGGUGAUACAACAGGUGGUGGAUUUUACUAUAAAAACUCACAACAACUCAUGAAGUUGUUGAUGAAGCUGUGCCAAAUAAGGCCUCACUUGCUGACGGUGUUGUCACCCUUUUCUUCUUAUCUCACCCUUUACAGAUCUUUUACAAGAAACAUCUUGUAAACAAAUCGUUGUCACCCUUUUUUUUUUGUUGAGUGACCCCUUCUCGCUCUAGCAAGAUCUUUUGCCGUUCUUCAAAUGGUAACAUGAUGUACCACUCAACAUGCAUGGGAGGUAAAAAAAAUGGUACCUAGGUACUAAUACUUUUGAUAGCUACAGUACCAAACUCAAGUUAUAUAUAGUUUUGAUACCUUACCAACGAUAAAAAAACUCCUUACAAAUGACUUCUAUGGCUUCUUAUAGACACUAGUUGCUAUAUGAUAUAAGGACACAACUAUGACAAUUAAGGAGUGGUGGGGUCUUUAUUAAAGGUUUGUUUGGACUUUGGAUACAAGGCGUAAUUGCUAGUUAGCUAAGAACUAGCUCGUGUAUCUAAAUAUGAGAGUUAAUAGGUGAGUUACUUUUAUAGUCAUUUUUUUUACUAGUCGUUAGUCAACAACCAGUAACUAGCCAUGUGUAUCUAAAUCUCCUACAACUAAAAAGAACAAAACGUGGAUACUUUUUGGUGCGACAUUCUAACGUGGGCCCAUAGUCCUGCCUGCUGCGUUCCCGUGGCCACUCUACAUCGUGCAUGACAUCCCUUGCGAUAUUCAAUUCAAAUCAAGAAUCGAUAUGUCAGGUUCCAGUUUUUAUACGAUUGCCAUAUGAAGCCUUUCCGCCAAAAGCCGUCCGACCACGGUGAAACAAAAAUAAUAAUAAAAUCUGCCCCAAUUCACGGACGGGUGACCAACGUGGCCAUGCAUGAAAGAAAUCGUCUAAAAAAUACUCAACUUUCCAUCUCUUCCGCUCCCUUUUCUUGAGAAAAAUGGUCAACCAUCGUGCAACUAAUCAGGAGACCAUCCCACCGAUCCCGCGUGCACAGCUGGCGGAAGCCCCUCGCGCGGUCACAAUCUCUCCUCAAUCAUGCACGGACAUCGCGUUCCUUAGGCAAAAGCAGAAAUUCCUCUCGAUCAUGCGCCGCCGCAACGAAACAUCUUCCUUUCCUGCCCGACGCCCUCGCUCUCGGUGCUUGGAGAGAUCGAGCCGAGCAUACCGGCUUCCCCUGAAGGCUUGAGACGGACACAGUUGACUGCUUCUUCGUCAUUGAUUGUCGCCAGCAACUGCGCCCUUGGCAUCGGUGUGGCCUUGCAAGAUUGGAUCUUUUUGUUUUCAUCCCAAUCAUCGCCAUGGCGGCCUCCUCCCCCUGAACGAUGAACGCAGCUGCUUCGUCAUUGAUGAUCAGCUUCUGACCCUUCACCAAUCUCUAUCCCCUAUUAUUUGUUCCAUCAUCUGUUCCACUUUCCACGAUUGAUUCAGUACUGGUGUUGCAAACUUAUUUCGAUUCUCAAAAAGCGAACAACCUGAUCGGUUUGGUAAGCAUCUUUCUAUUCCAGGCUAUCGAAGCUCUCAUUAAGCUUUUUGAUUCAGUUUGUGCCAAAGGUACGUUCUUGGCAAAUGCGAGCUGGCACCAUGAAGCAAAUUAUAGCUAUUGGAGUCCAGUAGAUAAUAUCUUGUGUGAUCUCCUUGUUCUUAAAUAGUGUAAUUUAAGAAAAAACUUAUUCAUGUUUGUUCUCUUCGACCUUUUUAGAUACAAGACACAGAUUAUUAUAUUGAUAUCAUAAUUGGUUGUGGCAUUGAGGUGUGUAAAUUUAUGCUUUUCUCUUUUCUGUCGGUGUUUAAACUCUCUUCUGAAUUCAUGCCAUCCAUUGACUCCAGGUGAGAAACACCUCCUGUUGUUUAAUUGUUUUUUUGCUCUUGCUUUCAGUAUGAAUAGUCAAAUAUAGUCAAAACAAUAACCUGGUUCAGUAGUAAUAAGGAAUCAAGCUAUUGCAACACUUCUUGUCAAAAAAAUGCAGCACUUCUAGAGUUGCUACGGGUUUUAAAAUUCUCACUUGCUGCACAUUAGGAGACGAAAUUCUUGGUUUCAGUUAGCAGAGUGACACUUAUCACUGUUAUCUAUAAGGCAAAUCUAACAACAUAGCACAGAUUGUGGACAUCAGUUUUUUUUUAGAAAGUGGACAUUGUGGGCGGCUGAGCGGGCACCUACGGGUGGGCGCGGCCGGCGUCAUGGCCAGCUCUGGGCGGGCGCGGGGUGGGGGAGGGGGGUGAUCAAGGCUGAAUCACAGGAAGGUUUCCUUUUAGGUGCUGUUAGCUUGGUUGGCUAAUCCCACACGCUUGAGGAGUUGCCUCUAGGAGGGGGCUGAAAUCACUUGGAGUUUCUUUUGAAUAUCGCAACGGGUGGAAAUAUUGAUCACGAAAAAAGUGGAAACAAAUAGCACCUUGGCUCUUUCCUUUUGAAUAUAGCAAAGGAUGCUGUAGGUGGGCGACGACGUUGUAGGCUCACAAAAUCACUGUCGUUUGCAAUAACAAAUACCUAUGAUUUAACUAUUUCUAUAUAUUGCUGAUCAUGAAUCUUCCUACAGGUACUUAAGUGGAUUUCUCAUCCUACAAUAUAUGUCUACAUGGAAUAGACCAAAAGCCACACAUAUUUAUACAGUGAGUCUAACACUUUGUCUAAGUUUUUGUAAAAGUUUUUUAACAAAAUAUAGUAUUACCCAUGCGACACACACUAAUAUUUACAUAUAUAUACUCGAAUGUGUGACAGGAUGGUACGAAGAUGCGGCAGAAUUUAUUUGUGGAUUUACUGGCACAUGAAAGAAAUGGAUAUCCGAGAUAUCUUCCCGUCGAUAUUAAACAUUAUCUUAGCCGUAUCACGGAAAGGUCUAUAAAGUAGAGUUUGUGAGCCUACAACGUCGUGCUCUUCGUGACUGUGUUUGAUUUCACAAACAUUGCGAUCCUACAAUGUCAUUUUCAAGUUGUUAUUUAAGUAGAAGAUUCUAAUAUUAUUAUCUUGUUAUGCGAUCUAUGUAUUUUAAAUAAAAAAUGUUAGCUAUCCCGUAGCAACGCACGGGCAUGCUAUCUAGUAGAGUAGAAUUGUAAAAGAGAACAAUGGUAAUUCUAGUGUACUAUUCUUGAGAUGUCUAGAAAUAACAAAAUAGAAGGGCUUUGCACGGAAAGAGGAAUGUACUGUGAAAAACAUGGCAUAACUUAUGCCGAGGCUGUUCGUUCCGUUAAAAAAAUAAGUUGAAAAGAAAGUAAUGUUCACUAAUUUAUUGUGUGAGAAAAAUAUUGUAUCAUAGCUGAUAAGUCUGUAGUGUCAUUGUUAUAUUCGUUUGUAACAUAAAUUUGCAAAACUCUACAUUUAACAUUUUCUCUUUUUUUUAGAAAAAAAUGGACAGACACGAGAGCUACCUUUUAUAUAGUACAGUCAGGCUUCUCCUUACGUGAUUGAGCAAAGCUCGGUUGAGCAAACAAGGAUGACACAUCUGAACAAGUUUAGAGACCGGAAUGAUAUAGACAAACAAGUUUAAUGAUCUAAAUGAUCAAUUUAUGAGUUUAGGGACCGAGAUGAUACGACAGGUGAUGGAUUUUACUAAAAAAACUCACAACAACUCAUAAAGUUGUUGAUGAAGCUGUGCCAAAUAAGGCCUCACUUGCUGAUGGUGUUUUCACCCUUUUCUUCUUAUCUCACCUUUUACAGAUCUUUUACAAGAAACAUCUUGUAAACAAAUGGCUUAACUCUUUUUGUUGAGUGACCCCUUCUCGCUCUAGCAGGAUCUUUUGCCGUUCUUCAAAUGGUAACAUGAUGUACCACUCAACAUGCAUGGGAGGUAAAAAAAUGGUACCUAGGUACUAAUACUUUUGAUAGCUACAGUACCAAACUCAAGUUGUAUAUAGUUUUGAUACCUUACCAACGAUAAAAAAACUCCUUACAAAUGACUUCUAUGGCUUCUUAUAGACACUAGUUGCUAUGAUAUAAGGACACAACUAUGACAAUUAAGGAGUGGUGGGGUCUUUAUCAAAGGUUUGUUUGGACUUUGGAUACAAGGCGUAACUGCUAGUUAGCUAAGAACUAGCUCGUGUAUCUAAACAUGGGAGUUAAUAGGUGAGUUACUUUUAUAGUCAUUUUUUUGACUAGUCGUUAGUCAACAACCAGUAAUGUGGGGGUAUAAACCCCUAUACCCUUACGGCUAGACUUCGGCCAGGAGGCUUGGCCCAUUACGAGACGAGUCCAAGGCUUGAUCCGACAACCUGGAGUUUCGCGCAAGGAAACAAGAUGUGGAGAUCAAGCAGGAUUCUAGUCGGUUAGAAUAGAAAUUGAUAUCGAAUUAUCCAUGACAAUUGUAACCGACUAGGGUUAGUUUCCGGAUCUGUAACCCUGCCCUCCAGACUAUAUAAGGAGAGGCAAGGGACCCCCCUAGGACAUCAUAUUCUCUCAACACAAAUCAAUACAACCAGACGCAGGACGUAGGUAUUACGCCAACUCGGCGGCCGAACCUGGAUAAAAAGCUUGUCCGUGUCUUGCGUCACCAUCGAGUUCGUAGUUUGCGCACCGUCUACCGAUAAACUACUACCGUGGGUAUACCCCAAGGUAGACUGCCGACUAGCUUUCGUCGACAGUGGCGCGCCAGGUAGGGGGUGUGCGUGCAACUUUUCCGGCGAACAAGAUGGUCACGAUCCCAGCUUCCGCGACCGUGCCCGAAGGCCUCACGUUCACCGUCGGCCAGAUCACGUGGACGGCGUGCAGCGGCGGCUUCACGACCACGGUUUCGGAAGAGAUCCAGAUCCAAUCUGAGUUCACGCCGUCUCCGACCACACGCAUGACGGCACCAAGCGCCCGACCACCGUUCCCACUCUACAAGGGAAAGGAGAUCGACUGCUCGGACCUUCUCCAAGCGCUUGAUCGCGCUGACUCCAAGCUACUCGAAGUUUCCCAACUAAUAGAUGGAGUUCUGCGUCGGCCCGACCAAGCUGCUCCAGCGGAUUUUUUCAAAUCCCGCCGGCCAACUCGUGUCGCCACACACGAACGGCUGGGAACGUCUCUGACGAUAACCUCAACCCCCUCAGGACGAUCCGUCCAGCUCAAGAAGGAAGACUAUCCUUGCGGCCUGAACAACUCGACCUCUGUUUACUCACGGCACACCCAAUCCGUUUUCAGCAAGGCGGGUUGGUCGCCGACAACGAACAAUCGUCACCACGUCAACAUGGUGACAAUCCGAGAACUACGGGACGGCCAGGCUUCCAGCACCAACUCAAGCACCGGCUCCGUCCCCACCGAGGUUAUAAACACCGAAGACGAGGACUAUGACCUGGAUUUCCCUUCAUACCCUCCGGGUUUCGACCGAUUCCCGAUAUUCCCCCCCCGGCGAGGGGAUAUUGUGUUCAAUGUCAGCGCCGACGAACCGGUCGUUGAUGGAGAAACAGAUGACCAGAGGCAACUCCGCGAACGGCGUAACGCCGAUCGCGCCCGACGACGCGCGGACGAGCAACAACAAAUGCCACCAAAUAAUCUCAACGAUGCCUUUGACAUGGUCGGGGACCAGCCAGUCUACAAAACGCCAAGCGCCAACGUGGCUGUCGCCAUGGCUAACCUGGAUCGGCUUCCCGACACCCCCGAAUGCCAGGGAGUCCGGACCAGCAUCCGAGCACACCUGAUCGCCGCAAUGGGACAGACGGCCACUCUGCUCAAGAGAGUCUAGGACGUCUCUUAUACGGAAGCCGUCUCCGACCAGACUAAUCAUAGCCGGGCCUCACCCAGCAGGCGUCACCGCAGCCGCUCCCCCGACAACCGUCGAGGGGACUCACGGCGCGACGAUGGUGGUCGGGACGCCGAUGGCCGCCGCAAGCAGAACCGCGUACGCGGCCAAGAGGAAGAUCAACACAGGGAUCUCCGCCACAACAUCCCUUCCAAAGAUGCCCGGGACCACAUCAACAGGCGCGCUGCAGAGAGAGCAGUCCACGAAAACCUGCGCCGCAUCGAGUACGAUGCAACACACGGUCCCCCGGGCCUAAGACAGUUCUCCUCGCACCUCCGCCAGGUCGUGUGGCCCCGCAAUUUCAAGCUCGAAAAACUCAAAAAGUACGACGGCAAGGAAAAUCCAGAGAACUGGAUCACCCUCUAUGACAUCGCCGUCCGAUCAGCGGCAGGGGACGAGCACGUCAUGGCUAACUACUUCCCCGUAGUCCUCGACCAGGCUGGUCAUCAGUGGCUUCUCGGCUUGCCCGAGGACUCCUUCGACUCUUGGGAAGAGCUACGCCAGGCUUUCAUCGACAACUUCAUCGCCACAUGCGAGCAGCCUGGAAACAAGUAUGACCUUGAAAGGAUAAGGGACAGGAAGAACGAACCUCUGCGCGAUUACAUCCGACGAUUCUCGGAUAUGCGCCUCAAAAUCCCGAAGAUUUCUCAUGACGAGGCCAUCUCAGCCUUCAUCAAGGGCCUGCGUUUCCACGAAGCGCUGAGGAACAAGCUGUUGCGUAAGCGUCCAACAACGGUAGCAGAGCUCCUCGCCACGGCCAAAAAUUACGCCGAUGCCGAUGACGCAGAAAAACUAAUCCGAGACGAUGCGAGGGGUCCCGACCAGCCUCCCCGACGAGAUGAUGGUCGUGGUCGCAACGACAGCAGAAAUCACCGCCGCUCCGACAACCGCGAUCAUCGAGAGGGUUGGGAUCGGCGGCGCGACAGCCGCGAUGACUUCAGAGGAAAGCGCCCUCGCGACUACGACCACGAAGUAAAUACGGUCAAACGACCCAAUGGACGACGGGACUACCAAGAAGACUACAACAAAACGUUGAGGGGACCAUGCCAACUACACCCAAAGUCCAAUCAUACCAUGGAAGAGUGCCGCGUCCUCAAAAGUAUCUAUACACGGCGGGCCGCCCAAGACGACUCCGCCAAGAAAAACAACAAGCGCGACGCGCACGACCACGAAGAUGAGGAUGAGGACCAAGAUAGGGACCCCCGACACCAAUACGUCAGCCCCACUGACGUGGUCCACUCCAUUUUCGGGGGCAAGGUCUCCACUGAGUCCAAGCGAGAAAGAAAGCUGUUAAAGAGAGCCUGCCUCAACAUAGACAGCACGGACGGGCUGAUCGCAGACCCGAAAUUUCCCACGUGGUCCCACAGGGAGAUCUCGUUCAGCAGGAAGGACCAGUGGGCCGCUAUCCCAGAGCCGGGUCGUUUCCCCCUGAUUCUUGACCCCUGCAUCAACAGCAUCAGAUUCGAGCGCGUGCUCGUGGACGGGGGAAGCUCCAUCGACAUCCUCUUCCGCAACAGCCUGCCCGCCCUCAAGAUAUCCCCGGCACAACUAAAACCUUACGACGCCCAAUUCUGGGGGGUUUUGCCAGGUCAAAGUUCCGUGCCUCUCGGACAGAUAACAUUGCCUGUCCAAUUCGGCACACCCGACCACUUCCGGACAGAGUUCAUCAACUUCGUAGUCGCGGAUUUCGACGGGACCUAUCACGCCAUACUGGGCCGCCCAUCGCUGACAAAGUUCAUGGCAGUCCCGCACUACUCAUACCUAGUCCUUAAGAUGCCCACGGAGAAGGGUGUCCUAACCAUCAGAGGCAACGUCUACACUGCGUACACCUGCGAAGAAGAAAGCUUCAAGAUCACCGAGGCAAUUGACCUCUCAAUCCGCAUGGCGGAAACAGCAAACCAAGCCGCACAGCUGCCUCCCGACCAGCUCCGAUUACCCGAACAGGCGACAGCCAGGAAGAACUCAAAAUCCAAGGAGUACAAAGAAGUGCAGCUGGUCGAAGGCAACCCCGAGAAGACAGCCCUCAUCGGGGCCAACCUGGAUCCAAAAUAGGAAGACGCGCUCGUCAGGUUUCUAAGGGACAACGUGAGCGUUUUCGCAUGGAAACCCGCAGACAUGCCCGGUGUCCCACGAAACCUGAUCGAGCACUCCUUAAAUGUCUCGAAGACCGCAAGACCAAUCAAGCAAAAACUGCGACGGUUCGCUCGUGACAAAAAGGAGGCUAUUAGGACAGAAAUAACACGGCUUCUAGCAGCCGGAUUCAUAAAAGAAGUGUAUCACCCCGAUUGGCUCGCCAAUCCGGUUCUUGUACGCAAAAAGAAUAAUGAAUGGAGAAUGUGCGUUGAUUACACUGAUCUCAACAAACACUGUCCUAAAGAUCCUUUUGGUCUCCCUCGCAUCGACGAGGUGGUCGACUCAACGGCCGGAUGCGAACUCCUCUCCUUUCUAGACUGCUACUCUGGUUAUCACCAGAUCUCGCUAAAGGAAGAAGAUCAGAUCAAAACAUCCUUUAUCACACCCUUCGGCGCAUACUGCUACACGACCAUGUCUUUCGGACUCAAAAACGCCGGAGCCACUUAUCAAAGGGCCAUCCAGCAAUGCCUCCACGACGAGAUUCGUGAUGACCUCGUCGAGGCCUAUGUGGACGACGUGGUCGUAAAAACAAGGGACGCGAGCACCCUAAUCGACAACUUAGACCGAACCUUCAAGGCACUUAAUAGGUACAAGUGGAAGCUCAACCCCAAGAAAUGCAUUUUCGGCGUUCCUUCCGGUCUACUGCUCGGCAACGUUGUCAGUUGCGACGGCAUACGACCAAACCCUUCAAAAGUAAAGGCGGUACUCGACAUGCGACCACCGAAGAACGUAAAGGAUAUCCAAAAGCUAACAGGAUGUAUGGCCGCCCUCAGUCGCUUCAUCUCAAGGCUAGGAGAAAAAGGCCUCCCUUUCUUUAAACUGUUAAAAGCGUCGGAAAAAUUUUUUUGGACAGAAGAAGCCGACACCGCAUUCAACCAGCUUAAGACCUUCCUCACUUCACCACCUGUCCUUACAGCCUGGAGUUUCGCACAAGGAAACAAGAUGUGGAGAUCAAGCAGGAUUCUAGUCGGUUAGAAUAGAAAUUGAUAUCGAAUUAUCCAUGACAAUUGUAACCGACUAGGGUUAGUUUCCGGAUCUGUAACCCUGCCCUCCAGACUAUAUAAGGAGAGGCAAGGGACCCCCCUAGGACAUCAUAUUCUCUCAACACAAAUCAAUACAACCAGACGCAGGACGUAGGUAUUACGCCAACUCGGCGGCCGAACCUGGAUAAAAAGCUUGUCCGUGUCUUGCGUCACCAUCGAGUUCGUAGUUUGCGCACCGUCUACCGAUAAACUACUACCGUGGGUAUACCCCAAGGUAGACUGCCGACUAGCUUUCGUCGACAAGUAACUAGCCAUGUGUAUCUAAAUAGAGUAGAAUUGUAAAAGAGGACGAUGGUAAUCCUAGUGUACUAUUCUUGAGAUGUCUUGAAAUAAUAAAAUAUAGAAGGGCUUUGCACGAAAAGAGGAUGUGAAAAACAUGGCUUAUGCCGAGGCUGUUUGUUCGGUUAAAAAAAUAAGUUGAAAAUAAAGUAAUGUUCACUAAUCUAUUGUGUGAGAAAAAUAUUGUAUCAUAGCUGAUAAGUCUGUGUGUCAUUGUUAUAUUCGUAACAUAAAUUUGCAAAACUCUACAUUUCUCCCUUUUUUUUAAAAAAAAUGACAGACACGAGCUACCUUUUAUAUAGUACAGUCAGGCUUCUCCUUACGUGAUUGAGCAAAGCUCCUGCCAUUUCUUAAAAAAAUGCAAGCUCGGUUGAUAAGGGUUUUGCCGUUUGAGGCUUCCGUUGAGCAUCACGUUUGUGUAAACUCAGAAAAUAAACUAAAAGCUGCUGUGAAGUGAUUUCGUGGCUUUUGAUUUGUUCUGGAAGCUAAAUAAAUAUUAAAUAAAUUUAAUAAUAAAAAUACAGCUACAAAAUCAGCUUUUAUGUCAGAAGUACAAAAGGUACCGCUCAAACAAACUAGCCCUUAGGGGGGCGUUUGGUUGCCUACACCAGUCCUCCUGAGCCAGGCUCUCCGCGUGCGAGAACAGACAUUUGUUUGGUUGGCAUAUGUGCCGAGCGAGGCUACACGCGUGCAAAAAGCCUCUCGCAGCCAGGCUCUGCUGAAACGCAGAAAUCGGCCGUUUUUGUUGGGCCUGGCUCACCUCAUGCGAGCAAGCACUGAACGAUGCAUGACGUGUGAGAUAGAGAUACGUGAACACGGUGAACCAAACAGAUGCUGCUGUUGGCCUAGCUGUAGUGAUCCAAGUAACCAAACAAGAUGCUAUCGCAUACAUAGAGCCUGGUCAAAGUUGGCCUGACUAGCUCUGUGCGAGCUAGGCUCUACCGAGCAACGAACCAAACAGUCUCUAGAUGUCUUCUUCUCACUGUGUGAAAAAAUGGCAUUACAGACGCGCCUUUACUGAUAUCACAGAUGCUCCUGAGUGCGUCAGUGAUAUAAAGUCUGAUAAAUAUUUAAUAAGACCUUAAUACUGACGCACUUCUAACAUCCGUAUGUAAGUAACACAUAGACACGUCAGUAGUAAAGCUUUUUCAGCGACGCCUAUCUAGAACACACGUCAUUAAGGUCCAGCUCGUCAGUACAAAAUUCUAACUGCAGACGCUUCUUCAGGAAUAGGGGUCUGUAGUAAGGAUUAAGCCACAGACGCAUUAUCCAGAGACGCGUCUACAGUAUGAAUUAAAUUGUAACAGUACCAUCGGCAUAUCUCUGUACUAAAUACCUCAAUGAAACGACAUAAAUACACAUCAACAUCUCAUUAAUUAGUACACAGCUUUAACACAAUCAAAUACAGAUCAAAGUUUAAUCACUAAAUUAAAUGUGUAGCUCUAAUAAAGUCACGUUACCUUAUGGCUGGCUAUCGAAUAACUUAUUUUGUAGCUUGAUCAAAACUGGCUCGUGGUCACCAGCGCACCAUGUGUGUCCAUUCAUCCAUGGCAGCUUAGGCGCGUGGCUUUGGCUUUGUGUCUCCCACCUCUCUAGUGAACGCGAUAGCUCUUGAAGUUUUUAUAUUUUCCAAAAUAAUUUCAAUUUUAAACGCGUACUAAAACAAAUUCAGGGUUACUGAUACAAAAUAUGAGAUCGGGUCGUAGAAAAAAGUGCCGAGAGAAAAACUUUUAGAAUAAAAAUAUAGAAAACUUUUGAAGAUGAUUUCUUUUUUUACUCCUCAUGUUAAUCUAGGAGUUCAUAAACAUGAUAUUUUGGGGAAUAUAAUAUAAAAGAUCUCUUGGAGAUGCUAUCUUUUCUUCCACCUCUCUAGUGAACGGUAUAGCUCUUGAAGCACAAAUCCAAUUCUACGGACGUUCAUUCAUUCUACCUCUUGAAGCUUUCAUAUUUUCCAAAAUAAUUUCAGUUUUCAAGACAUAUUCACUGGAACAGCCUCCCAAUAUCUAUUCAAAAUGUAUUCACACGAAAAAGUAAAUAUAUAUUCCAAAUGAGCAAAAUUCCUUAUUUGGUCAAACUUGCGUAGGAUUCCAAAAGGGUUUUUUUGAACGGUGCCAUUACAAUUUCAAAGUAUUUGAAAUAUGCCAUUAUAAUUCAGGUAUCCUGAAGCGGACCAUUACAAUUCUUGCAAAAUUUGAAAUAUGCCAUUGGAUACGGUAGAAGGACGCUUGGGCCUGCUUGCAAGCCGACGUGGCAUACGGUCGACCGUAUGCGCCCGUCGCCGUGAGCCAUCUAAACGGCGCGGCAAAAAACGCCGUCUCCACCCCGCCCCUGACUCAUUCUCGCUCUCCAUCUCUCUGUCUCUCUCGAGCGUAACCCUAGGCGCGGCGGCGGCGGCGUGGCGGCGGCGGCGCAGGGGGAGGCAAUGGAAUAGGGGCGCAUGUCCAUGGCAGACGUGCCCCCGUGCACGGCGCAGCGCAGGGCGCCGCGGAUGGGGGAUAGCAACGAAAGGUAAUGUUUUGUCCUUCCAGAGCACGAAUACGAGUGCAUUAGGUCUUGAUCUGUUGAUUGGCAUUAGAUAUUGAUGUGAUUUGGUUGAUGCUAGGGUUCCGCUAUUUUCUUUAGAAAUUAAAGUGGAAGCAUUCUGUUGGAGAGACUCUUUGGGUAGGAAAGCUUACACAAAGGGCUCUGUAAUUAAGUGGGAUGUGGAGAUUGGCUCGUUUUCAUUUGAUGUACUGAUGGCCAGCUUGCGCAAUGCUGUCAAUUGCUCUACUACUCAGUGUCCAGUUGCUUGGUUCUAUGAUAAAAGGUUGUCUCAAGAUGUCAUGCUAGAAAAUCAAUUCCAGAUUAAUGAUAUGUUUGAGAUGUAUAAGGAGGAGAUGCAUUGCCACAUUGUCGUAGGGGUAUUUGAUCAGUCUGUUCCCACUAUUGAUCAAUUUGAUGAACUAGAUCUUCCUCCUGACACUAGCACUGGCAACCCAGCCAGUACUGACAGUUAUGUUAACCAGCCCACAUUUGAGGCAGAUGUUGCACCAGAGGCUGAAGUUGAGACUCAACUUGAGCCUGAUAGGGAACCUGAUAUGUUUGAUAACGAUGAGGAGUAUGUGGGUUGUGAUGAUGAGGGCAUGUACAUGCCAACACCACCAACACAGCCUCCUAGUAAUUCACCUCCACAUGCUUCUCAUGAUGCUGAAAAUGCUGAUGCUGAUGCUGAUGCUUUUCCUGUUGAGGCAGAGGUCACUGAUGCAGACCCUGAAGAGAUCAAUAUCAUUCAUGACCCAGAACAUCCCAAGAUUGUAAAGGGGGAGUUAUUUCCUGAUAUUGUUUCAUUCAGGAAAGCUAUCAGGCAUUUCUCUGUUACUAAAGGCUAUGUGUUAGCUGGUAUCAAAACAGACCCAUCAAGAUUUAUUGCAAAGUGCAAAUCCGAGGGAUGUCCUUGGCGCAUACAUGCAUCUAGGCUGCAGGGUAGAAAGACAAUACAGGUAACUGUCUAUUCACUAGUUCCUUUGUGCAAGUUUUAUUUUUUCUUUACCUGACAUGUUUCGUAUGCACAGAUCAAAGUACUGCCUGCAGAAGAUGGCAUCACAGUCUUGGUGUGCAGAUAGGCUGGCAGAUUGGAUAAAAAAACAUCCAACAAAACGUGCAAAAGAGUGCAGGGAGAAGUUGGAAGAUGAUUAUGGCAUCAAGCUGAAGUAUUCAAAGGCUUGGUCAGGUAUGCAGUGCGCAUUGGAUCAAAUCCAUGGUAAAUAUGAGGAAAGUUUUCAACUGCUAUUCAAUUGGGGUGCUCAAAUUGAAAAGGUAUCUCUUGGUAGCACUGUAGUGGUAGAGGUUGACAAAAUUGGUAAGAAGAACAGAUUCAAAAGAAUGUUUGUUGCUCUAAAGCCUUAUGUAGAUGGAUUCUUGGCUGGUUGUAGGCCUUUUUUGGGUAUAGAUGCAUCUUGUUUGAAUGGAAAGUAUAGAGGUCAGCUAGCUUCAGCAACCAGUGUAGAUGGACAUAAUUGGUUGUAUCAUGUAGCUUAUGGCAUUUUUGACAUAGAAAAUGAAGACAACUGGACAUGGUUCUUGCAACUUCUUAGUAGAGCAAUUGGGCCUGUCCCAAAUCUUGUAGUUUGUACAGAUGCAUGCAAAGGCGUGGAGAAUGCAGUGGGUAAAACUUUUCCAACAGCUGAGAAUAGGGAAUGCAUGAGACAUAUGUACCAAAACUUUUAUGAAGCACUAUUCUAGUGAUGUAUUCACAGACCACCUUAUCCUACAGCUAGAAGUUACACUCAAGAAAAAUUCCAGUGGCACAUGAAUCAGAUACAUGAGUAUGCUCCUCAAGCUAUAGAAUAUAUUGAGAAUUACCACAGCAGGAUAUGGUACAGGUGUGGGUUCUCAGAAAGUAGCAAGUGUGAUUAUUUGACCAACAAUGUGUCAGAAAGCUUCAAUGCACAGGUGAAGCACCUCAAAGGUUUAUUAUUACAUGAACUGGUAGAUGUUGAUAUUUGGUAACGCAAUAAGGAAAUAAUCCGCAAGCGCACGGAUAUCGGUGAGCAUUUCACCCGGGAGGUUUUCCAGAGUAUCGUAUUUAUAUUUUUACCACUGGGAGAAAGGGUGCAUCUGACUAACCAAAUCUAUUGCUACUAUCCCUUUAGGCUACAAAGAAUGUUUCUCAAUGUGAGUGAUAUAUAGAGAAGACUGCAACCGUAGUCUCGUUCUAACCUUGGUAAGGAUGAUCUACUGUUCUAUUGGGGAAGCUUACGGAAUCUAGACACCACAAAGGAUGUUUGACCCGCACCUAUAAACCUACCCGUCCUGCUAACAAGAUAUGGGAUACAAAGGUAACUCGGAAAUGUCACGUUCCUCGCUACUACCACGGUCCAGCUAGUCAGGGGAUAUCUAUGAGUACCCUAGUGAAAGGUCCUAAUAUGGCUAGAGGGGGGUGAAUAGCCUAUUUAAAAAUUCUACAAACUCACUAGAGCGAGAGGUUAGUAAAUAACAAAGCGAAGCCUUUUGCUCUAGCUCUAAUGGGGUGUUUGCAAGCCACCUGUCCAACAAUUCUAGUUGAUAUAAUCACUAGACACACAAGAGCUAUGUCACUACUUACACUAGAAAGCUACCUAAAGUUUCUAUACAAGUAAGUAAGCUACUCUAGUUUGCGGGAAUGUAAAAGAGAUGGUUUUAACUUUAUACCGCCGCAUAGAGGGGAUGAACCAAUCACUAAUAUGAAGUCCAAUCACCGGGAGAAAUCCAAUGAACAAUCACAAUGGAUACACACAAUUUUACUCCCGAGGUUCACGUGCUUGCCGGCACGCUACGUCCCCGUUGUGUCGACCAACACUUGGUGGUUCGGUGGCUAAGAGGUGUAGCACGAACCUCGUCCUCACUAGGACACCACAAGAACCUACCCACAAGUGAGGUAGCUCAAUGACACGAGCAAUCCACUAGAGUUACCUUUCGGCUCUCCGCCGGGGAAGGUACAAGACCCCUCACAAUCACCGGGAGAUGGCCACGAACAAUCACCAACUCGUGCUAAUCCUCCUCCGUUGCUCCAAGCCGUCUAGGUGGCGGCAACCACCAAGAGUAACAAGAAAACCGCAGCUAGAACGAUCCCCAAGUGCCACUAGAUGCAAUCACUCAAGCAAAUUCACUUGGAAUCACUCCCAAUCUCACAAAGAUGUUUAAUCUAUGAAGGAGAUGAGUGGGAGGUGUUUGCUUAGGCUCACAAGGAUGUUAUGUAUGUUAGAAUGCCAAGAGAGUGAGCCCCAAGCCGGCCAAACACGUAUUUAUAAGCCCCUCAAGCAAAUAGAGCCGUUGGCACUUUCACUGGGCAAACUGCGGGGUCACCGGACGCUCUCAAAGGGGCACCGGACGCUCAACACCAGCGUCCGGUGCUCCAACGUCAGCCAUGUGUCGCCUUUUGAAAAACUCGUGUCAGAGUCUAACGGUCACCUGCAGUGCACCGGACGCUAAGCAAGUUAGCACCGGACGCGUCCGGUGCACACCGGACUCAUGCGCAGAGAGCUCCGCAAACUCGCACGGUCACCGGACGCAAGCCACCGGACGCACCCUGAGCAUCCGGUGCUCACCGAACUCAUGCGCAGAGAGGGUUGCAAAACGCCCUCACACCGGACGCUAACCACCGGAAGCGUCCGGUGCUCACCGGACCCAUGCGCAGAGAGGGUCGCAAAACGCCCACACACCGGACGCGCACCACCGGACGCUCAAGCCAGCGUCCGGUGCCUAUCGUCCGGUGCCUUACCCUAGCUGGGCCAGGCACUGUCUGCACCGGACGCUCAGACGCAGCGUCCGGUGCUCCAGAAGCCAGCGUCCGGUGAGUGUUUUCUCAGCGAGAAACACUCCCACGACUACUCCAAAUUUCCUACCGACGCAAUAGAAAAUAUGCAUUUUAUUUUCUCGAAAAGCGCCGAAUCCCACCUCGCAAGCUCGGCGGGAGGGAGAGAGGAACCCAUCCUCUCUCUACGUACUCUUCAAACUCCACCUCCUUCUCAAAGUGUGCCAACACCACAAGUGUAAACCAACAAGUGUGCACGUGUGUUAGCAUUUUCACAAUCAUUUUCUUAGAAGGAGUUAAGUUAGCUCACUAGGUUCUAAAUGCAUACACAUGAACAAUGACACCUAGUGGCACUUGAUAACCGCUUAGCCAAAGAAUUCCCCUCUUUAUAGUACGGCUAUCUAUCCUAAAUGUGAUCACACCCUCUAUGGUGUCUUGAUCACCAAAACCAAAACCCUAAGCAAUACCUUUGCCUUGAUCUCCAUAGGGUUUUGUUUUUCUCUUUCUUCUUUUCCAAGUUGAGCACUUAAUCAUCUUGUGGUCAUCACCAUGAUCAUCAUGAUCAUCACUUGCUCCAUCACUUGGCAUGUACCAACCUCAUUAAGUCUACACACACUUAGUAUAGAGGUUAGUACUAGGGUUUCAUCAAUUAUCCAAAACCAAACUAGGGCUUUCACCUAGCCUAAACACCACGUUUACGCUAGCAAUAAUUACUCUAAUACUCAACCGGAAGAGGAUUAAAUUAAACUCAUAAACCAAAGAACAAUAAAACAAGAACUUACUAGAAUUAGAAGUCGAAUUACUGAAGAAUCUUAGAAGCAAGCCUCGGGUUAGAAGACUUGAUCCCGCAGGUACAACUCGGAGUAGACACCGACAGGUCGGCCUUCCUCCGAUCUACACCUCCACUCUAUCUCUCUCAAUCUAGUAGAAACUAGAAGAUCUAUUUCUACUUACAUUGGUUGCUAAGCCUAAAAAAAUAUUAUUUAGAGAAGAGGUUUUCCUUCGAGGGCACCCCUCAAUCUCUAUGAUAACUUCUUGUCUUCUCCAGGGGCCAGGGGGGUCUCCUUAUAUAGUCCUCCUCCUCUAUGCGUUUUUGGGUCGGUAGGCGAUGUGGUACUACAUUAUCCUUGAUCCAUUAGGUCGGUGGAACAUCGUGUGCGAAGAGAGUCCCGAACGGAGUCUAGGACACGGCGGGCGCCCAGGGAAAGAGGGCGGGCGCCCUGGGCCUGGCCCCUUUCGGCCUCUGCUUUCUUCCCGUGGCUUCUGGAGUCUUCUAGAUGGUAGAAAAUUACGCGGUGCGUUGAUAUCUCUAUGUAAUCCCGACAUGUGGGCCUUUCUUCCGUAUUUUUUGAUAACCCCCUGCAGAAAUAGACAAACACCAAAACUCAUGGAAUUCUGUCAGAUAAAACCCUAAGUCUAGAUGUUGAUUUCAUUUGGAUCCUUUUCUUUGUUUAUUUGAUAAUUAAAUUUGAUACUUAAGGACCGUCAACAGUAGACAGAAUUAGAGAGCUUAUAAUGGAGAAGAGAUAUUUGAGGAAGAAAGUUGCUAGGCAGUGGGAAGAUGGAAUCCUCCCAAAUGUGAUGAAGGAUUGUUGGGUAUUCUUAACAUCAUUACCAAAAGUAGACUAAGUUCUCUAAAUCUAGUAACGGUGCCAAAAAUGCCAAACCUAUCCCUCACACCACUUAAGCCAAGUUGUCAUCCCCAGCAUGACAUGAGAGACGCGGUAUUGAAAUAUGCAAUUGCUCUUCUAAAUAAAUAAUGAAUGAGAUCUGCAAGCGCACAGAUUAAUACCGAUGUAGCAUUUUAACCGGGAAGUAUUCUAGGUAUCGUUAUUUAUAUUUUUACCACUGGGAAGGGAUUAGCAAUCAUCACUAUUGAUUACAGAAUAGAAUAUGAGAUUGAGCAUCUAUCAUUGCAUGUAUAAUUGAGAACAUUUAUCUAACUCUUCAUACAGGGAUAAGUGUCACAUAAAAGAUAUAUGAAAUAAUAAUAGUGACAAGGAUAACUAAUCUGAUCUAGCCACAUAAUAAAUAUGAUAAGCACCUCAAUUAGAUACUCUAGAAAGUCAUUAGCAUGGUAUUAGAACGAACUAUAAGAAUAUUCCCUAAGUUAUUCUCAACUAUAUAGUUUAGCAUUAUCAUAGUUAGUGCAAGCAUACUUAGCAAUCAUUGUGAGACAAGACUACGCCCAUGCAUAGUGAUAUUAGCAAGGAAUAUGAGAAACAUAGCAAUCACUCCCCUAUAAUAAUGUUGCUCUGCCAGCCCAAUACACGAGAGGGGGACUAUAUAAGAAUCAAUGAAGCUGUCACUAUCACGAACCACCCCACGAUCUGGCAUAUUGGGUACAAUCGCAGAUAAAUAUGGUAUAAGCACCACGCCUACACAAUAUCUAUCAUUUACCCAUGGAUCCGAUGGAUAAACGCUAUACGAUCCUAAGCAUGUAUAUAGAUCGAAUCUAACUAAGCCAAGUACAUAACUAUGAUAAACUAAGAACAAUAUAAUCUUGAAUAUAAGCAAGUAGAGCAAAGUCAUAAGCAAUAUAUUGAAGUAGAACAAAGUCAUAUUUAUAAUAUUGAAGAACAAAGAUAAUUAGAAAGUAAUUAGAAGCACAAUUAGAGAAUUACCAAGAAUCCUCUUGACAGAUCCGGAAACCAAUCGAAGAUUGACUCCUUCUAGUUCUAAUCCUAUGUAGCUAUGCUAAUCUAGAUAUCUAAUUGAUGUGGUGGCUCUAAUCUUGAUCAGAGGCUUCUUCUCCCUUGAAGAACAAUGAAUUAGGGUUGAGAGGCUCCCCCCUCUAGGGGCCAGGGGGUCUGGUUUUAUAGUCCCUUCAAGUGAAUAUGGGCCGUUGGAUCAAACCGACAUAGAUUGUAUGGUUUAGAUUCAUCCUUUAGGUCGGUGGAAAUCUCCCACGAAGCAGAGUCCUGAUUGGACUCAGGAGGUGGGCGGGCGCCCUGAUCACCUGGGCGGGCGCCCAGGGUCACGCCCCGUUUCGCCUCCGCUUCGGUUUCGUGGCUUCUGGAGUCUUCUAGAUGUAAGAUAAUUGCGCGACACGUUAAUAUCUCUAUGUAAUCCCGACGUGUGGGCCUUUCUUCCGUAUUUCCUGAUAACCCCCUACAGAAAUAGACAAACACCAAAACUCGUGGAAUUCUGUCAGAUAAAACCCUAAGUCUAGAUCUUGAUUUCAUUUGGAUCCUUUUCUUUAUUUAUUUGAUAAUUAAAUUUGAUACUUAAGGACCAUCAACAAGGAUCUCAACCUGAUCAGUACUCAACUCAAUGUAGUCAAGGUCAAAGUCAGUGAUGAUAACACUGCUGAAGUUACAAUCCUGGAGUGGGAGAAGCAAAGGAGGCACACUGUGGACCUAGGAAACCACAAUUGUUCCUGCAGGCAGUGGCAAGUGACUGGAAAGCCAUGUAAGCAUGCUUUGGCUUGGAUACUGUCAAUCCCAGGGAUGAGAAUUGAGGAUUAUGUACAUGAGUACUAUUCAGUUGCUAGAUUUAAGGCAGCUUAUGCUGAUAGGAUUGAGCCUAUCCCAGACAAGGAUGAAUGGCCUGUUGUCAACCUUGGUUUUAAAGUGUAUCCUUCAUUGCUAGGCAGAGGUCCAGGAAGGCCAAGGGUUGUAAGAAUUAGAGGGACUUUUGAGCAGAGGGCCACGAAGAAGAAAGUUAGGUGCAAGAGAUGUGGUGACUUUGGACAUUUUUCCAAGACCUGCAAGUUGCCAGAACUAGGUGAAGAUGGAGAAAGAGGACAAGGGUCUUCAAAAAGGUAUUAAAACUAUUGUCUAACCAUUUUAUUAUUUUUUCCUAUGUACUAAGAUCUAACCGGCUAUUGUCAUCUCAACGCAGAAAGAGGCCGACUCAGCAAGUGUCAUCACAGGAAGCUCCAACGCAGGAAGUACCAACACAGGAUGAUGCUGGACCUUCCCAGGUGAAGAAGACCAAGCCUCUGAAGAAGGUUACAACUAAGAAGAAGAAGAAGACACCAAAGAAAACAAAGCUGCAGAGGGAAGCAGCUGCACCUGGGAAGGCUGUUAUCAGCAGCAUCAGGCACCUGAUCUAUGAUGCUCCACAGGAUGCUGAUCUAUGAUUCUCCACAGGAUGCUGAUCUAUGAUGCUCCACUUAUAUGGCUUUGUUCUGAACCUUACUAUGUAAUGAGGCAUUAGAAUGCCAACUUGGAACUUGUAUGGCUGAUGCUGCUACUAUGUAAUGAGGCAUUAGAACUUGCCAACUAUUUUCAGUCAUGUGAACUCUACUUAUGUUAGUUUGUACUCUCCUGUAUUGUGUCAAUUAUCAUGUGAACUCUACUUAAAAUGUUAAGAAAACAAGACAAAGUGCUGCAGAAAUUCUAAUAUAUUUUGAAGCUGAAAUUCUAAUCUAUUUUCAGUGACAAAAGGCAUAGGACAAUGCUGAUCAUACUCAUCGAAGAAACUCAGUGACAAAAUGCUUGUUCUUUCAUUGCAAAUACACAUAAUUACAGUCACUUCAUCAUCUGAGAAAAACCUACACCUAGCAGUACACCCACAAGGACACCUACAACAACAGAUACAUCCAACACAAUUUGCAUUUUCCCCUUCCUGCCCAAGUCCAGUGCUGGACUCUGAUUACUAACUUGACUAGGAACAGCAACAACAUCUCUGUCUCCAAGUUGCACCUUCAUUUUCUCAAGUUCAGUGACAACUCUAUCUAGAGUUUGCUUCAUCUCCUUGUCCCGUUGAUUCAAAUCAUCAUUAGGAUCCCCAACUGCUGAAUGAAGGGGCAACUGCAGCUGAAUCUCUUUCUCCUUUUGCUUCAUAAACCAUGCCUCGUACUGCUCCUCCGAACGAAUCCAGCCACAAGUUGUUGGAUCACCCUGUGCAAGCAACACCAGUCAAAUUGAAAACAAAGGAAGCACAUUCAAGGGCAUAAACAAUGCAAAUAGUUACCUUUACGUUGUUUGGGCACUUGAUGAAUGCGACAUCCUUUGAGUGCUCUUGCUUGCUCACGAUUCGGAUCAAAGGAACAUUGCACACUGGGCAGUUCAGUAGGGGGCACUGCACCCUUCUACUGCCAGCAGCGGAAGAGCUCGAGGCCAUCUUCAUCUGCAGCGCCGCCGUCGGGAUCGUGGCACCGGAAUCGCCGCCGCCGCGCCUAGGGUUACGCUCGAGAGAGACAGAGAGGUGGAGAGCGAGAAUGAGUCAGGGGCGGGGUGGAGACGGCGUUUUUUGCCGCGCCGUUUAGAUGGCUCACGGCGACGGGCGCAUACGGUCGACCGUAUGCCACGUCGGCUUGCAAGCAGGCCCAAGCGUCCUUCUACCGUAUCCAAUGGCAUAUUUCAAAUUUUGCAAGAAUUGUAAUGGUCCGCUUCAGGAUACCUGAAUUAUAAUGGCAUAUUUCAAAUACUUUGAAAUUGUAAUGGCACCGUUCAAAAAAACCCAUUCCAAAAUAGAAAGUCCUUUUCCUUCCCAAACAGAAAACCAUGUUUAUCUGCCAACAGUUUCUAACCCAUGGGUCCCACGGGUGCCAACGGUUUCCCUCUUGAUCCUCCCCAAUCGCCCGCUCACACCACCACGCCGCCACGCCGCUCAUCGUUAACUUCCUGCCCUCCACGGACUUAUCCGCUCGUCGCGCCCGCCUCAAGCUAAUGACGAAUCUAAUGAGUAGAAGAGUGAGGGCAUGUGUCCUUAAGGAAAAAAAACGUCUUCGACCAGAAAUCUCCACCUGCCGCGCUGUGGAGUUCUCGUGCUGGGGCUCCUCCCCGUGCGUCGCCACGGUGCCGUGGCUGACCACACGAGCGCGGCUUGGCAUGCGUCUAAAGAUACAGUGGCCGUUGUUGGAGAUGACCUUGAAGCUGUGCAUCUGCCAUUCUGCCUUCCAUUGGUGCCUAUGGGGUACACUGUCAAACAGCGCUGGUGCCCCCUCCAUCGGCGCGGGAGGAAGAAGAUGACCAGGUUGAGCGGUGUGGAACCGUCGUAAACGAAUCUGCGCGGUUUCUCCCAACACGGUUGACUGUGGGCUGAUUUACGGGUACACGGUUAGUAUACAGCAUCGUACAUACCACUCAUAUAUAUAGUCAUAUAUAACAUCUCAAGUCCAUACACGGCACACUGCUUAGAGAACCUUUAUUUAUUUUGUAUGAAAAAGGGACAUGAAAGAAAACCAUUCUCCGAAUAUAUCAAAACAUGUAUAAGGCUGCCCGUGAAGUAGAAUCGCAUCCCCAUCCACAGAUUUAGUUGUAGGCGUCGGGGUUGGCGACGAGGUAGGCCUCGGCACCCUUGAAAAUGGCGGUGAGUGCCUCCUUGGCCUUGGCUUCCUCGUCCUUCUCGUCCAUGCCCGGCAGCAACUUGUAGGUCGACUCCACCUUCACCACGCUGCCGCCGUCGGCCGUGGGCUCCACCUUGAUGUGUGACGCCGCGGUCUCGAUGGCAACACCGAUGCCGCCGCCCUCGACGAGCGUGUUCUUGCACUCGCACUUGUCCACGUCCAGGAAAUCGAGCCUCUCCUUCAUGAAGCUGAACGGCAUGACUGCAAGAACGAUCGCGCACGUCAUUCGCUAGCUAUUUGAUCGAUCGAUCGGGCGACAACAUGUUGGUCUGGGCGACUGGGCAUGCUGCGGACACUUACAUGAGGUGAAGUUGAACUGCCUGACGCUGCCAACGCCGCCGUCGCCCUCCACGGGGUGGGCGCUGGCGACGACGUGGGAGGCGACCUUGGGCGCCAGGGUGUGCCAGUCCAUCACGGCGGCGCGGAACAGGCGCGGCGCGGCCACCGGCGACGGAAUCUCCAGGGUCCAGCUGCUGGCGGAGGCCAUUACUUCAGUGAUCGGCCGAGAUAAACUAAACUAGGUGCGAGCCGAAGCUGCUUAGGUGCUUGUGCUGCUGCAGGUGGUUUUAGGAUUGCGCUUUUGCUUGCGUUGCCAUUAGAGUGGCGGACGGAGGACUUUAAAUAGGCGGUUAUGGCGGGGUUGGUGGCGUCCCGUGAGGAUGAGACGCUCGGGAGUCGUCGUCGGCGGCUCUUCCCACUUUGGCUUGGCACGGCACCGUCGCUCGUCGGUCCAUGUAGUUCAUUAUAAUAUACUACAUGUUGCCGGGGUUGCGGACAAACGUCUGGAAACGUGCUGCCAUUCCGUCAGCGUUCAACCCCUGAAGGUGUAGAAUAUAUAUCGUCGAAUUGGCGAGCCAAAUCAGCUUCCAGAUCAAAAAGCAUGUACUGUAAGCGUGGGUUGGUGUCAUUAGAAACGAGAAUUAUACCGUACGUGAGCGUCCUGACUACUUGCAUCACUCUUUUGGUGUCGCACUGUCGCUAUUAACUACUAAUAAUAAACAUAAUCCUGUAAAUCCACCUCUUUUUAAUCAUCCUAUAAAUACCUCUACUGGCGACAGCAUGGACAAAGCUCAUACGGAAAAUAACAUAGUGGUGGCCAAAGCUGUAUGGGAAAAUAUUGAUUGCAGACUAUCAAUUGGGUGCAAAAGUACUCAGUGUAAACUAUUAAUUAAGUGCAAAUAUAAAGACAAUUGCUAUGUCACAGUUGAUUGUUUUAGCCUCCGUGAAUAACUGAUUUCCUGGCCGUUUGAUUCUUAUCACGUGGGAUGAAAGAAAGACCAACAACGCUGCGGAAGCAGAGCGUGAGGAAGGACCGAAGGAGCCACCAGGGGUCCACUGAUGUCGCCAUUAGCACCAAGGAGAGGCCGUCGUCAGAGUCAGAGUCAGGGUUGUAGAGGGCUAUCACGUCCGUUGUCGAGGUCGGGGUGGGGUAAAGAUGGCAAUGGAUAAUUACCCGCUGGGUAUAUGCUACCCAUACCUUUACCGAUGAGAAAAUAUUUUACCCGUUAAUUUACAUAUCCAUGUAUGGGUAAGAGUUUUUUCCCAUACCCUUACCCACGUGGGUAACGGGUAAUCCAUGAGUUUUCUUACCCAUGAUUCUAAGAAUACUUGUAAAAAAUAAAUACAUAUUUAAAUAUUCUAGACUCCCAAUUUCAGCCAAAGUAUCAUAAGUCAUUAAUAAAAUCAUCAAAUAUACAAGCUCCAUGAAUACCUAAUCAAGUAAUCUAAUAGAUAAAUCCAUCAUUACUAGACAACAAGUGACAAAAUUUACAAGUUUCCGUGUUGUGCGGCCGCCGCAAGGAGAUAGGGGAAAGGUGAGAGAGCGGAUGUGUGAGGUACUAAGGUGAGGGCCUAGAGUUUGACAGCAUUAUAUAUGAUUUUUAUUGGACUUGGCCUGUGUAUGGUGAUUUUGGUCCAUAAUUCUAACUUAUUGAAUCGGGUCCAAUCCCAUACCCUUACUCGCUUUACCCGCUGGCUAAAGCUUUUUCCCAUUAUCUUACCUAUGGAUAAAAAAAAUAGUCAUACCUUUACCCUAAUGAAGUAAUUAACCAUCGGAUUUCGAGUAAAAAUUGACAUCUUUAAGGUGGGGAAUGGCCGCCGCAUCUACCAUAGCCACCUGCUUCCUGAGAUCCAUGGGGAAAGAGCCCGCCGCUAGCCGAGGGUGAGGAGCCGCCGCCUCUGUGUGGCCAACUUCAUGUCGGGCCUCUACCGUGGCGGGGGUAGCUCACAGAAGGGAAGGGAUAAAGUUGGUGAGGGUGGGUCCCACCAUAAUUGGUGAAUAAUUUGCCAUGUAUUUCUCUAAUAUCUACUAUCUAAAGAAAUAUUUUGUAUUUUUUUCUGAAAAGUUUGGCAUAUUUGUCUUUGAGAUAUGUAAUCUAUAAAAAUACCUAAGAUAUAUCACUAUAUCCAAUAAAUGACACUAUGUGUUAGCAUUUUCUCACUACAUUUUCAAAGGUGUUAACACACUAGAUUCUAAUGCAUAUGCAUUAUCAACAACAGCUAGUGACACUUGAUAAACCGCUUUUAACCAUAAUUUUCCUCUCUUUAUAGUACAGCUAUCUAGUCGACUAGUCCAAACCCAAUUAUAUCCUCUAUGGUAUCUUGAUUGGCGAAACAAGAAUGGCCCUAUCACAUACCUUUGCCUUAAGCUCAUUUUUAUUUUUCUCUUUCUUUUUUUCCAAGUUGGAGCACUUGAUCUUCACACUUGACCACCUCCAUCAUCUAUAGAUGCCAUAAUCUAGCUGGUGUGUACCAAUCCUAUUUCCUAUCUUAUAUACACCUAAAGCAAUGGUUAGUAGACUUAGAUCUCAUCAAUUAUCCGAAACUAAACUAGAACUUUCAUGUAGUGACACAACAUCUACUUUCUCUCACCCUUCCUCUUUCAUGGAAUGCAAGCAUUCAUACAUCAUUAGUAUGUUGUAUGUAAUGAGUCUCUCUAGCACAAACACCGACUGUUCUUCCGAAAUCACCUUUGGGAAAAAAUAAUCCACAGUCUGUUUGCCACCGUCUUAGAAGCAAUCUUAUAUAUCAUGUUACAUAGACUGAUGAUAGGCCAAAACAGCCCGCUCGACCAACUUCUCCACUUUUGUGAUCAAUACUAUUCAUGUGCUAUUUAUCACAGAAGGAUCAUCCUCGCCACAUAAGUCCUAGUGCCGCUAAAAAAAAUGAGCAGGAAAACCAUCUGGCCCCGGCGUUUUUGUCUUAAACAUGUGAGAAAGCUUAGUCCUGAUCUCCUCCUUUCGUAUACAAGGCGAGUGUCCUGACAACUACUUGCAUCACUCUUUUGAUGUUGCACUAUCGUUGUUAGCCUUAUCAUUAACUCCUUUCCUCUCUAAUCUCUAGAAUUAAGCAAAGAUUUGAAUGCUUUCUCAAUUUACCAUCAUAUAAUUAUUAUAUUAUAAUAUAAUCAAAUAAAUACACCUCUUUUUAUUCAUCCCGCAAAUAUAUCUAGUGGCAAUGAGUAUGGAAAGAGCUAAUACGAAAACUAUCAUAGUGGUGGCCAAAUACAUGAGAAAAUAUUCAGUGCAAACUAUAGAUUGGGUGCAAACAUAAACCCUUUAUAACAUAAUUAGAUGUUUUCUUAAAAAAAUGCCCACUUCGCCACUAAAGUUAAGAUACAAAGAAAUGGGGUGGGGGUGUGAUGCAAAGAUAUUGGAGAGUGAAUCUCUUCUUUCAAACCUCCCAAGAAACUAGUCACAAAGUAAACAUAAUCGUAGGAGCUAUUGUACAAUAGAAUUUGAUGCGCAGGCUGUUCAAGCUACUCAAAUUACUGUGACCGAACUAGUCUACUGAAGAUGAUUGUUUCAUACAUAACUCAUAUUGGUCACGAUUAAAAUAAUUACAAACCGCAUCACAAGAGCAGGCCAAGAUGUGAAACAACCACACAACUCUUUAAAUUGUAACCAAGUGGCAGCGGUCCUCCAGAACUCAAUGCAACAGAGCUAGGCUUCAAUGUCUCGCUGAUAGAGUACAUCUCAAAAUAGAUCUUACAGUGAUCCUUCCACAACCAUAAAUUGUCACCAUCAAAUUUGGGGAAAUAUGAUUUGGGCAUCGGACCAACUGGAGAUGUAUAAGAAUAUGAAUGUUCCAUCGGUCCACCUAUCAUUCCCUUGUACUUGCGUGCCCGUUAGUUAGCUAUUAUGUUCCUCUUUUUUAUUGGAUCCCAAACACCUCUGCUUCUAGACCAACUUCCAUCGUCGUCUACACAUAUCCCAUGGAGUUAGAGCAAGUUUAAUUAAUACAGUCCACUUGCUGACUGUAAGGUUCCUUACAGCCUUCUUUCAGCCCCACCCAUACAAUAGUUAGUUAUUCAUUAUUAAUACAUGACUCACUUAUCUCUCUUACAAAGUUUUCAGCUUACAACAUGCUUCUCUUCUCUCUCCUCCACCUCAGUAUUUAGCCAGCUUACAGCCCACUAUAAUACUUGCUCUUAUGACAAAUGCCUACUUCUCUCGCCUUUUUAGUGAACACUAUAACUCCUGGAGUCUUCAUAUUAUUCGAAAAAUAAAUUCAAAUUUCAACAAUGACACAUUCAGCAGAAUAAAAAGUCUCCAAAUUUCUAUUAAAAAAGAGCAAACAUUCCUUAUUCAGUCAAACUUGCAAAGGAUUUCAAAACAGAAGACCUCGUAUAACCAUGAGGGUGUAAGUAAUCUCACAAACAAAGCAUCACAAACCACUUAUAAUCUCAAGUCCAUACACGGUACACCACACACUGCAUAGAGCAACUUUAUUUUGUUUUGUAUGAAAAAAGAGGAAAACUCCAGGAAAGAAAAAAGAAAAUUAAACCCAAACUUCAGGAAGGGGAAUCGCAUCCCAAUCGACUGAUUUAGUUGUAGGCGUCGGGGUUGGCGACGAGGUAGGCCUCGGCACCCUUGAAAAUGGCGGUGACUGCCUCCUUGGCCUUGACUUCCUCGUCCUUCUCGUCUACGCCAGGCAGCAGCUUGUAGGUCGACUCCACCUUCACCACGCUGCCGCCGCCGGCCGCGGGCUCCACCUUGAUGUGCGACGCCGCGGUCUCGAUGGCAACACCGAUGCCGCCGCCCUCGACGAGCGUGUUCUUGCACUCGCACUUGUCCACGUCCAGGAAAUCGAGCCUCUCCUUCAUGAAGCUGAACGGCAUGACUGCAAGAACGAUCGCGCACGUCAUUCGCUAGCUAUUUGAUCGAUCGAUCGGGCGACAACAUGUUGGUCUGGGCGACUGGGCAUGCUGCGGACACUUACAUGAGGUGAAGUUGAACUGCCUGACGCUGCCAACGCCGCCGUCGCCCUCCACGGGGUGGGCGCUGGCGACGACGUGGGAGGCGACCUUGGGCGCCAGGGUGUGCCAGUCCAUCACGGCGGCGCGGAACAGGCGCGGCGCGGCCACCGGCGAUGGAAUCUCCAGGGUCCAGCUGCUGGCGGAGGCCAUUACUUCAGUGAUCGGCCGAUCGACUAAACUUGUGCUAGCUGAAGCUGGUUAGGUGCUCAGCUCUAUGGGUGGCAGCUACUGCUUGUGUUGCCAUGACACUGGCGGACUGAGGGCUUUAAAUAAUAGGCCGUUAUGGCGGGGGUUGGUGGCGUCCCGUGAGGAUGUGUAUGAGACGCCCGGGACGGAGUCGUCGUCGGCUCUUCCCACUUGGGUUGGCUUGGCACGGCACCGCGUGACUCAUCGGUCCAUUAGUCCAUUAUUUUAUCGAUAUCAAUAUGUAUGUUGCCGGGCUGCGGACAGCCGGACACACGUCACCAAACGGGCUGCCAUUCCGUCAACGUUCAACAUCUAGAAGGUGUGGAAUAUGUCGUCGAAUGGCACACCGUCGGGUCUGUUUGGAACGAAAGUGAGAGAAAAUACAGGAAAUAGAUAAGGAAUACAAUGGUCCUGUUUAAGUUAGAGGUUAGAGUUAUUCUCUAGUUUAUGACUAGCCCUCAAGUAACUCUAGCCAAAGAGAUGUUUGUAUGCAAGGGUUAGUGUUGAUGCAAAACUGAUCUGCAAACACAAAGGGCUAAUACCCGAUCCAAACGUUAAGGCGUGCCAGCCGAUUUAACCUUACUAUCGGCAAAGGUGAUAACUCGAAUACUUUAGUCCUGACAACAGCGAUGCGCCCGGAUGUCACGGCUAAGAGGUACUCACGCGGAACUUGAGAACACGCCGAGCUUAAGUCGACGAAUUCCUAAGAACUCGUAGUAAAAAGGAAAAAGUACGACGAAGUCGUCGAAAAAGUAGAUGCUGGAAUAUGAGUAAAAACGUGUGUUUGAUUGAUUGAUAGAUAGCUCAUUACAAGGCCCUAGGGUCUAUAUUUAUACCCUGCUCAAAGAGCUACAACCAGACACGAUUAGAAUUCGAAUUCCAAACUACACGGAAUCCGUAUACAAAACGAUGUAAAUAAUUAAAGAAAUAACAAAACUAUCCCCCGUGACAAACUGAAACUCCUCCAUACAACGACCGGCAGCUUCCGGACUCCCUCUUUGCAUCAUCGGCAGAUCUUUUGCCAUAGUCAUCGGCAGACUUUCUUAUCCAGUCAUCGGCACAAUCAUAUCACUGCCUGUAGACUUAGUCACGUUCAACUUCUCCUUCAUCGGCAACCAUCCUCAUCGGCAACUCACCCUGUAAACAUCGUACUGCCAUCUUAUCCUGCCAUCCUAGACACGUGCACAAAAACGGUGUCAACACAUGCCCCCCAGUUUCGGAGUAUAAAACUAUUAAUGCUCCGAAAUUCUCUGCAGUAAUGAUGCCUUUUCCCGCAAUUAAUGCUCCUAAUCUGGUAACCGACAACCUCAAUCUGAACAACUCUGAUCCUAUUCCUCCGCAGAUUCCUCGAAAUCCCCAACUUCCUAAACGGGCAUUUCUUCUCAGUCGUACGUCGGCAAUAAUACCGUUACAAAGAUUUGCCGAUGUUCUGACCAGGAUAUUCGCACAAAUGGUUACUUCCCCUCGAUCCGCCCAUCGGCAAUAUGACCGUUAUAGAAUGCUGCCGAUGGACCGACCAGGAGAUCUAGCACAGUAAAAUAUCUUCAGAUAAUGACCGCUUCCCGUCAAAUCACCUGCACAAUCCCUGGAUUAUCGUGCGAACAGUUACCAUAUCUUCCUGAGUACCCUCGGAUCUCUCGGAAGCGGCAAAGAGAAAAGUCAGAUUUGCCCUUGCCCAUUUCGUCCUAUAAAUAGUUCCUUCUCGGGUACUCCUUCCCUAUCACAUCAUUCCACCACCCAAGUUUACUUUUCCAGCGGCGGCGCCAUCCGAAGCUCCCAAGACCUCCAACAAGCAUUCUUCCUCAUCAACCCCGGUGUCUUCAAACACUUCCUUCGCAGCAAGAUGGCCGUCGGCUUCGUCGUUCCUGAGGUCAAAUCUCCACCCCGUCUCCUGUAUUUUUCUUCAUAUCCCUGUUCACUCGCAAUUCAUUUUACUGAAUAUCUCCCUUUUCUUUUCUCUUUGUAUUUCUUUUUAUCCCAAAAAUCACUAGGAAUUGUCCAAUAAAAUUGUCAUCCCCACUGAUCAACCACACCUCCAAUGUCUCGGUCCUCUAGGAGAUCCAGAUCCAACCGACCUUAUUAAUGCAGAAACCAACAGGAUCCCCUUUAGAACUGAAAAUUUUUCUUUAGAUCUGUGGAAAGAUACCUUCCGUUCUUGGCCUAGCCCUACCGUAGGGUGGAAAGACUGGUUCUUGAGAGUCAGCAAUUCUUAUGAAGUCCAGUGGGGCGAAAGGAAGCUAGCCCAAUGCAUUAGAUUGUCCAUUGCCGAUAUGCAUAGGAACGAGUCAUGCUGAUAGCUGCAUCCUACUUUUGGUCAGACACCCUCAAUGCUUUCGCCUUUGGCCACGGCCCUGCUUCUCCUACCCUUGCCGAUGUGGCCAUGCUUACUGGUCUAGAUAUAUCUUCUGCCGAUAGCACCUACUUUUUUGAUACUGCCCCUAGUGCCAAAGUGGAGACUCGCGCUAUCGGCGGUUGGUCAGGGUACAUUCAGAAGUACCGUGGGAAAGGAUCCGUCACCAUAAAGGAACAAACCACCUUUCUGAACAUGUGGCUGGACAAGUUUGUAUUCUGUGGUCGAUCGGCAGGACCAACUUCCGUUUAUCUAUCGGCAGCGGAGAGACUGGCUAACGGUGGCCAAUUUCCUCUCGGCCGAUACUUGCUUGGCGCUGUUUACCACCUUCUCCAUCAGGUAGCCCAGAAACUCCUGCUCGGCCAGUCCAUCGGCAACCUGGGAGGCCCCUGGUGGUUUAUUAAUAUGUGGCUCAAUCUGCACCUGCAUAAGCGCCUUGAUUUCAACUUGUUCACACAGCACUUCCCAAGAGAUAUAGCCGAAAACCAUGUGUUGGGUGAAGAGGAAUCGGCAACGCGUGCCCCCUUGAACUUUGGCGAAGCUGUCAUCGUUCUACCUGGUUCAGGGAGUAAUCCGGAUCAGAUCGGCCGAUUCUUCCAGGUUCUGUAUGAGGGUUUGGCCAGAGACGAACGACCAUGGUUGGCUUAUGAUGACCCAGAUAGCAUGCUCCCUCUGUCCUUCAAUCCAUUUGAUGAAGCUCUCGACAGGGACAAUGAGACGAUGAUGGCAAUUGUGACUCCCAGAAUCAUUCCAGUGAAUUUUUUUUGGUAGCACAAAAACCUCUCCUCAGACUUAUGAAUUUUACAAUCCAUCGGCAUUAGCUCGCCAGUUAGCUUUCGGCCAGUUGCCGAUUGCACUUCCUUAUGCCGAUGUGAUAAAACCCAGAGAAACCAUCAACAACCUCCUUGAGUGGAUUCGAGUAGCCCAACUACCACCAAACGCCGAUACAGAUGUAGAUCUGUCAGAAUGGGUUCCGGCUGCUUUUAUCACUCAGGCAUACAAGUUAUGGUGGGCAGAGUGGAAAGAGCAUCUAUUCUGCAGAUCGGCCCUUUCAUACCGCGGCAUGAUCGACUCCGAAUACGAAGUUCCCGAUGACACUGUAAGUAACUCAAACCGAUGUUCCAUUUUCUCAAUACUAUUUCCAUCGAUAGCUUACCCUUGUAUUCCUUUCGCAGGUUGACAACAUCCCCCCAUCGGUUAGCAGGAGCGGCAAGCCGAUCGACUUGUUUCCAUCAGGCCCGAUUUCCUCCAUCGGCCACAAUGCUCCUAUCCUGGCUUCCAUCGUGCAUCGGGGUGUGCGUCUCAGGAAAGUCACCACCAGGAGAACCCAGACAUCACCAACGGUAGCUGCUCCCACUCUGGCGCGGGCUUUCAAGGAAAUUUGUCAAAUCUUUUCCUUUAUGCUGACUAUCUUUAUAUCGGCUAUAUUUAUGCUUAUAAACUCUUGUUCGUUAUUGCAGCAAACCGGCGCAUCGGCGAAAGCCAGGCGUGAAAGUGCCGAUGCCCCCCAGUCUAGCCAACCAAAGAGAAAAGGCACCACAGGUGCUAAGACUGGAACAAAGCGCCAGAAGGUAGCAACUCCCCCUCCUCCUCCGGUGUCUCCAAUUCCGGUGGAGUCUUCUCCUUCUUCUCCAGAAGCCCAGCCACAGCAAGCACCGUCUCCCCAACCUAUGCAGGAAGCACCACAGAUAGAAGAACCCCAGCAGGAAGGAUCCCAAACAGAAGGUACAUCAGCUGAUGUGGGUGGACAAACAACUGGCCCGGAGGGUCCAAUUACACCAUCGGCGGUUCUCCCGAUUCAGACAACCGUUGUUCCACCUCCAGGUAACAUACUUUAACAAUACCGCUACCGAUGAACUUAUUCCCAUUUAGUCUCAUAACUCCUCUUAUCUUCUUUCAGCUGAUAUCGUUCCAUCGGCAACCUCAGCCGAUCAACCUGUAGUUCCAUCGGCAUCUUUGGCCGAUCAGCCUGCAGCUCCGUCAGCACUUCUCAGUCAAAGACAAGAGAUCGCCUUGAAGCAAGUAAGUCACCGUUUACCGUUAGCAUUAUUUGCCGAUUCUCUGAAUAUGAGCUAACUUUGCUUUCCCUCCCAGGAACAAGAUUCUCCCGACAGCCUGUUCUCCUUCGCCAUCGAUCUCUCUGAAGAAGAAGGUGAAGAAGCAAGCUCUUCUCAGGCAGUCGGCAUUACAUCGGCAGAGAUCAGGGUCAGGCUGGAAGAAUUGUCAGCUCUCCUUCAUCAGGACACAGCACAAUUGGUUGAUGACUCCGAUCCUACCAAGACCCUGUUCAGAACUCUCAGAGGCCAAAUCCCAGCCGAUGUCGAAGAAAUCCUAUUCCAAGCCGCUCAUCUGGAGAGUCGCCAGCUACAGUACCAGAGAGCUUCUCGGCGUCUUGCCGAUAGAGCCGCUCAGACUCAACUCUCCGAUGAAAUGAGGAAGGAGAAGCUCUUGACCGAUGAGAAGCACAAGAACAUCGGUAUCCUGAGAUCUUCUGGAGACGCGCUGAAGAAGAAAAUAUCCGAUCUGUCGGCAAGAAGAGAAUCCCUGUUGGCGGAGCUCAAGGAAGUGGAGAACGCCCUAUCCCAAGCCCAACAGGAAGAGAGCCAAUUGUCAGAGACCAUCAGGCUUCUUGAGCACGAGCGAAACGCUCAUGGUCGCAAGGCACUUCAACUGAAGAAGAAGCUGAAGCCGAUAGAAGGUUCUGCCGAUGAUGACAUCAAGAAAAUAGAAGCAGCCAACCAAAUUCGGCUACGCGCUAUAUCGGCAAUCCAGGCGUUGCUUAAUACAUAGAGUUUCCAUUGGAUUUAUAUCCGUGCUUUCCUGCUUCCUCAGCUUUUAGUCUAGCCGAUAGGACUGUUAUCGGCACCUAAACUUUUGAAACACCAAGUCUUGUCCCCAAACAUUUGGAUCCAGUCGAUAGGAGUGUUAUCGGCACUUAAACUUCUAUGCAUCGACCCAUAUACUGGGGUAGUACUUCUUUAAAUAUUUGCCGUUUAAUGCUCUGGGAAAUUCAACUCCUUCGAGGGUUUCUAGAAUGUAGGCAUUACCAGGAGCCGAUCGACUUAUCCGAUAAGGACCCUCCCAAUUAGGAGACCACUUUCCAAACUUCGAACCUUUAGUCCCAAUUGGUAGAAUUAAUUUCCACACCAAAUCCCCAUCGGCAAACUCUUUAGCCUUCACUUUCUUAUCAUACCAUCUAGCAACUCUCUUCUUAUUUUCUUCUAUACUCAUUAAAGCUUUUAACCGAUGCCCUGCUAGAUCAUCCAAUUCAUCGGUCAUUAAAGUGGCAUAAUCAUCGGCAGUUAAUUGAUCUUGAAAAGAUAAUCGCCUAGAUCCAGCCUUAAUUUCCCAAGGCAACACCGCAUCAUGUCCAUACACCAAUUGAUAGGGUGACACCUUGGUUGAUCCAUGACAAGCCAUCCGAUAAGACCACAAUGCUUCAUUUAAUAAUGUAUGCCACCGCUUAGGAUUUUCUUCAAUCUUUCGUUUAAUAAGCUUGAUAAUUCCUUUGUUAGACGCUUCGGCCUGCCCAUUGGCUUGAGCAUAAUAAGGAGAAGAAUUCAACACUUUAAUCCCCAUACCGACUGCGAAUUCAUCGAACUCCCCCGAUGUGAACAUGGUGCCCUGAUCGGUAGUAAUCGUUUGGGGAAUCCCAAAUCGGUAAAUAAUAUGCUCCUUCACAAAAUCAAUCAUAUUGGCCGAUGUGACUUUCUUCAAAGGAAUAGCUUCAACCCACUUAGUGAAAUAAUCAGUGGCAACUAGAAUAAACUUAUGCCCUUUGCUAGAUGGUGGAUAAAUCUGGCCGAUCAGAUCGAUGGCCCAUCCCCGGAACGGCCAAGGCUUUAUUAUAGGAUUCAUAGCCGAUGCGGGUGCUCUCUGGAUAUUACCAAACUUUUGACAACCUUGACAUCCCUUGAAAUAUUCAAAACAAUCCUCAAGUAUGGUCGGCCAAAAAUAUCCAUUCCUUCGAAUCAUCCACUUCAUCUUAAAAGCUGACUGAUGCGCUCCACACACUCCUUCAUGGAUUUCCCCCAUCAAACUUCUAGCUUCAUCAUCACCCAAGCAUUGGAGAAGAAUUCCGUCGAUAGUUCGAUAAUACAAUUCAUCUUCAAGAAGCACAUACUUGCUUGCUUGAAAUCGAACCUGUCUUUCAACUUUUUUGGAUGGAUCUUUUAGAUAAUCAAUAAUUUCUUUCCUCCAAUCAUCGGCACCGAUUGCCGAUAUUGCAUUAAUCAUUGGCUGAUAUCCCGAAGCAUGUUGAGCUAACCGAUUGGCGUCUUCAUUAUGCAAUCGAGGAACAUGCUCUAAUCGGAAAUCCUUGAAUUCCUUUAACAGUUGCAUACUUCUCUCGAAAUAAGUUAUGAGAACUUCACUUCGGCAUUCAUAGCUCCCGGCCAAUUGAUUUAUAACCAACAUAGAAUCCCCGAAGAUCUCAACAGCAUCAGCACGAACUUCUCUUAACAACUCCAAUCCCUUGAUCAGAGCCUGAUACUCAGCCUGGUUAUUUGUUGAUGUGGCAACAAUCGGCAAGGAAAACUCAUACUUCCUCCCCUUAGGGGAAACUAAUACAAUGUCGAUUCCUGCCCCCCGGUCACAGGUAGAUCCAUCAAAGAAGAGUGUCCAGGGUACAAUUUCCAAGGUUUCCACCAUACCGCAAUGCUGAGUCACAAAAUCGGCCAUAAUCUGCCCUUUGACUGCCUUGGCCGAUUCGUAACGCAAAUCGAACUCCGACAGCGCUAAAAUCCAUUUACCGAUCCUACCACUCAUAAUCGGCAUAGAUAGCAUGUACCGGACCACGUCAUCUUUGCAAACAACAGUGCAUUCGGCCGAUAACAGGUAAUGUCUCAGCUUGAUACAUGAAAAAUAUAAGCAUAGGCAUAGUUUCUCAAUGGCCGAAUACCUGGUUUCAGCAUCAAUCAACCUCCUACUCAAGUAGUAAAUUACCCUUUCUUUCCCUUCAAAUUCUUGAACUAAAGCUGAACCGAUAACCGAUCCAUCGGCAGACAAAUACAAUCUGAAGGGCUUUCCUUGUUGAGGUGGAACCAGAACUGGAGGAUUUACUAGAUAUUUCUUUAUUUCACCCAGAGCCAACUGCUGUUCUUUUCCCCAAAUAAAUUCUUGAUCGGCUUUCAAUUUAAGAAGAGGACUGAAAGCACGAAUCUGACCAGACAGAUUAGAUAUAAAUCUCCUGAUAAAGUUUACCUUGCCGAUCAAGGACUGGAGUUCGGUCUUGUUGGUAGGGGCCACUAUUUUAUUGAUGGCAUCAAUGGAUCUUCGACUAAUUUCAAUACCCCUUUGAUGUACCAUGAAACCAAGAAACUGCCCUGCCGAUACACCAAAUGCACACUUGUUGGGAUUCAUCUUCAAUCCAUGCUUCCUUGUGCACUCUAACACUUUCUGUAAAUCGGCAAGAUGCUUUGAGAAAUCUCCAGACUUGACCACCACAUCGUCAAUAUAAAUCUCCACGAGCUUGCCGAUGAACUCAUGAAAUAUAAAAUUCAUAGCCCUUUGAUAAGUAGCACCAGCAUUCUUCAACCCAAAGGUCAUGACUAUCCAUUCAAAUAACCCAACAUGACCAGGACACCUGAAUGCGGUUUUUGGAAUAUCCUCCUCUGCCAUGAAUAUUUAAUUGUAUCCUGCAUUACCAUCCAUAAAGCUGAUGACCCGAUGACCAGCUGCAGCAUCAACCAGCAGAUCGGCGACAGGCAUUGGGUAUCCAUCCAUCGGCGUAGCUUUGUUGAGAUUCCUGAAAUCAAUGCACACUCGAAGCUUCCCGUUCUUCUUGUAAACCGGAACAACAUUGGAAAUCCACUCGGCAUACCAACACUGCCGAAUAAACUUAGCUUCAAUAAGUUUGGUGAUUUCGGCCUUAAUAUCAGGUAGAAUGUUAGGAUUACACCGGCGAGCUGGUUGCUGAUGUGGCCGAAAUCCAGACUUGAUGGGUAACCGAUGCUCAACAAUUGACCGGUCUAAACCAGGCAUCCCAGUAUAAUCCCAAGCAAAGCAAUCUUUAUAUUCCUUUAACAAACUAGUCAAUUGUUGCUUACACUCAGGAUCUAAUUUGGCACUAAUAAAAGUAGGCCUAGGCUUAUCACCACUACCUAUAUCUACUUCUACCAAAUCAUCGGCCGAUGUGAAUCCCUGGCCUAAUUUUCCAUCAUCGGCGAAUCUAUCCAUUAAAAACCGUCGUCAGAACCAACUGCUUGGAUCGGUGGAAUCUCGUAAUCGGCAACUUUGAGAAAAUCUUUCUCCCAAACUUCCCCUGAAAUGCACCUGGUCCUUUCGUAAGUAUCCGCCUCUGCCGAUGCGAUAACAUAAGAAGAAUCUCCUGGGACAAUCUCAAUCUUGUCACCUACCCACUGAACCAAGCAUUGGUGCAUUGUAGAUGGGAUACAACAAUUGGCAUGAAUCCAAUCUCUUCCCAACAAUAAGUUGUAAGCACCUUUUCCACUGAUCACGAAGAAAGUUGUUGGCAAGGUUUUGCUGCCGAUGGUGAACUCCACACAUAUUGCCCCCUUGACUGGAGACACGUUUCCUUCAAAGUCUUUGAGCAUCAUAUCGGUCUUGGUCAAAUCAUGAUCCCCUUUCCCAAGCUUCCGAUAUACUGCAUACGGCAUAAUAUUAAUAGCAGCUCCACCA
This 42733-nucleotide long non-coding RNA is filed under the name Sorghum bicolor (sorghum). RNAcentral describes it as "long non-coding RNA (SBIC_LNC001641)". Lineage: Eukaryota; Viridiplantae; Streptophyta; Magnoliopsida; Poales; Poaceae. The record is from RNAcentral.